Molecule: transfer RNA, 72 nt
Filed under: Ardenticatenia bacterium
Lineage: Bacteria; Bacillati; Chloroflexota; Ardenticatenia
Description: tRNA-Arg
Rfam family: tRNA
About the family: Transfer RNA (tRNA) molecules are approximately 80 nucleotides in length.
Source: RNAcentral
GCCCCCGUAGCUCAGAGGAGAGAGCACUGGCCUCCGGAGCCAGGUGCGCAGGUUCGAGUCCUGCCGGGGGCA